CUACGGGCCGCUCCAGUGAGGAAUAUUGCACAAUGGGGGGAACCCUGAUGCAGCAACGCCGCGUGGAGGAUGACGCAUUUCGGUGUGUAAACUCCUUUUAUAUGUCAAGAAAAUGACGGUAGCAUAUGAAUAAGCACCGGCUAACUCCGUGCCAGCAGCCGCGGUAAUACGGAGGGUGCAAGCGUUACUCGGAAUCACUGGGCGUAAAGGACGCGUAGGCGGGGUGGAAAGUCAGGUGUGAAAUCCUACAGCUUAACUGUAGAACUGCACUUGAAACUUCUAAUCUAGAGUAUGGGAGGGGGAGAUGGAAUUAGUGGUGUAGGGGUAAAAUCCGUAGAUAUCACUAGGAAUACCUAAAGCGAAGGCGAUCUCCUGGAACAUUACUGACGCUAAGGCGUGAAAGCGUGGGGAGCAAACAGGAAUAGAUACCCUGGUAGUC
This 439-nucleotide ribosomal RNA is filed under the name uncultured bacterium. RNAcentral's name for it is "partial 16S ribosomal RNA". It matches the Rfam family "Bacterial small subunit ribosomal RNA", at positions 339 to 795 of the family's 1533-position model. The record is from RNAcentral.